Molecule: ribosomal RNA, 116 nt
Filed under: Pteropus alecto (black flying fox)
Lineage: Eukaryota; Metazoa; Chordata; Mammalia; Chiroptera; Pteropodidae
Source: RNAcentral
GUCUACGGCCAUGCCACCCUGAACAAGCCCAAUGUCUGAUCUUGGAAGCUAAGCAGGGUCAGGCUUGGUUAGUACUUGGAUGGGAGACCACCUAGGAAGACCAGGUGCUGUAGGCA